AUGGCCUGCGUACGGGCGCCGUCCUUGGUGGGAAGGAGGGAGAUGAUGGUGCCGAGGACGUCAUCGGGAAGUUUGCUGAUGAGAUCGCCAUGGCUGAUGAGAUCCCCGUCGCUGACGAGCUUAUCCUCGCGGAUCCGCUUCCGUGGCCUGCGCCUGGCGGUUCCGGCGGACGCGCGCCUCUUGGGUGCGGGCGCCGCGGCCGGAGCCUCCGCCGCCUUCUUCCUGACCGCGGGACUCGCCGCCACCGUCCUCUUCAUGUCCGGUCGCUGGAGAAAUGGAGAUCCGAGGCGGGAGCAGGGGAGUUGGGUGGGUUUUUUGUUCCAGCGAUGGCACGGUGGUGCGGCUGCUGCGGGAUGGAAUCCAGAAAAACGAUACCGAUCGAAACAUCUGCCUCCUCAGCGAUUAGAGCAUUCUGGCCGUCUGAUCGGUUUGCUUGAUGCGAUUUUAGACGUCGGAGCGAUCUCAUACGUUGGAUUUCGCCGCUAG
Molecule: ribosomal RNA, 486 nt
Filed under: Triticum aestivum (bread wheat)
Lineage: Eukaryota; Viridiplantae; Streptophyta; Magnoliopsida; Poales; Poaceae
Description: partial small subunit ribosomal RNA
Source: RNAcentral